AGUAGGGAAUCUUCCGCAAUGGACGAAAGUCUGACGGAGCAACGCCGCGUGAGUGAUGAAGGUUUUCGGAUCGUAAAGCUCUGUUGUUAGGGAAGAACAAGUGCCGUUCAAAUAGGGCGGCACCUUGACGGUACCUAACCAGAAAGCCACGGCUAACUACGUGCCAGCAGCCGCGGUAAUACGUAGGUGGCAAGCGUUGUCCGGAAUUAUUGGGCGUAAAGGGCUCGCAGGCGGUUUCUUAAGUCUGAUGUGAAAGCCCCCGGCUCAGCCGGGGAGGGUCAUUGGAAACUGGGGAACUUGAGUGCAGAAGAGGAGAGUGGAAUUCCACGUGUAGCGGUGAAAUGCGUAGAGAUGUGGAGGAACACCAGUGGCGAAGGCGACUCUCUGGUCUGUAACUGACGCUGAGGAGCGAAAGCGUGGGGAGCGAAGAGGAUUAGAUACCCUGGUAGUCCACGCCGUAAACGAUGAGUGCUAAGUGUUAGGGGGUUUCCGCCCCUUA
This 499-nucleotide ribosomal RNA is filed under the name Bacillus sp. (in: firmicutes). Its description in RNAcentral is "bacterial SSU rRNA". It matches the Rfam family "Bacterial small subunit ribosomal RNA", at positions 353 to 842 of the family's 1533-position model. The record is from RNAcentral. Lineage: Bacteria; Bacillati; Bacillota; Bacilli; Caryophanales; Bacillaceae.